UUAUUGAAAACCUAGCUUUGUUCCCUAGUUUCCAAGACUGAUCAUUUGGGUGUUUUUCUUCUUUGGGAGCCCUAAUUGUGAACAUUGCCCGAAAAAUAUUGUUUUUCUUUUCUCAGAAUCAAUGAGUGUGCGUUGCAACCAAAUGGGACAAGGGGAUAUUUUGUGUUGGGAUUUCAAUUUAAUCAAUUCCAUUUGGGAAUCCUGGCCUCCUGGAUAUUAUAGACACUUGAAAUGAAUCAUUGAAGUUUUAGAAGUUGUGGAGAAUUGAAGCGUUAAGAGUAUGUUCUUAAAACACAUCUAAUAGGUGACUAUAUGUCCUAUGAAAAUUGAAAAGCCCAAGGGUGCCAUGGAGAAGUGGCAAUUGAGGAAUUUAUGUGAUUUGAGAUACUGGGUUCAGGUUUGUACAGCCUCUUUCUUCGGACCAUAUACCUUCGACCUUUUUGCAUAUGGUUGAGUGAUGUGGUUGAAUUCGAUCCUAUUACCAUUUGCGAGAACUGUUCAAUAUUCGAUUGCUAAAUGCACACAAUCUUGGAUUGCUUUUGACACUUUAGUCGGUUGUUGCUUGCAAAUCGUGCCAGUUAGUUAACGAAAAGCGAGCAAGUGUGGAAUCUUAUAGCCCCCGUUAAGUAUCUGCAAUUAUUCAGGUUUUCUCCUCAUGUUUUCUACCCUCUUUGGUGGUCAAAACACAAUAAGAAAUAUACUGAUCACAUUAUGUAUGGUUUUCAUUGUUUAGUGCAAGAAGUAAUUGUAGCUGUAAAGAGUUUAAAUUUAACUGAUAUGGAUCACAGAUUAACCCGUUCCUUUGGGAUCAGAUUUUGUUUGAUCUUUAUUAGUUUAUGUCGAAGUAAUAGCAGCUAUAAAAAGGUUUGCUCUUCGGUUUAUUUGUAGAGUGCUUAUGUGUGACUCAGAACCCUGUUAAUUGCAGAGCAAUAAACUGGUAUUUACCCGCAAAAAGCAAUGAUGGCAAGACAAGGAGGCUUGAUUCGAGACCAGAAUUUAAAUGUUCACUUUGACUUGGCUCCUCUUGGAGUAAAGUCCAACGUUUCCAAGGCACGGAAGCAAGGAGGGGGGCUCGGUGGAAGGAAAGCACUCAAUGAUAUAUCAAAUUCAGGGAGGCCUUCCACAUUUCAGCCAUCGAAGAAGCACAGCUCAAGGAAUGCAAUAUCUCUUGGUGAAGAUAUUGAUCCCUCUAAAUUGAAAUCUUUUGGAGGAAGGACCAAUGUUUCUAAAGCCCUAGAGAAAGUGCAAGUUUCUGGUGGCAGGAAAGCACUUAGUGACCUCACAAACUCUGCCAAGCCACAUAUGCAUCAGGCAUCAAAAGAGAACCAUGAUAAGAAGUUGAGUGCUGUUUUAGAGGAACAAAUUCUUCUGCAUUUUGUGGAGGAACAGUUCUGCAUAAUCAUCCGGAAUGCAUUAAAGCACAAAGGAAGGCCGUGGACAUGCAUUAUUUUCUGGAGACAAUUGGACUAGCUAACAAUAAUUCCACGCAGAUAGCUUCUCCACUGAUGUCUCCACUUUCAAGGAAAUUGAAGCCUGAGAGUUCUCCAAAAAGGUACUUGGAGAUGGAAGAGAUGCCUGAACUCCUGUUUGAAGAUCGAUCUCAAUGGAACAAGACUGAGAUGCCUAGUGAACAAACUCCUUGUCAAAAUCUGAAAUCACCCAAGCCUUUUAUGCAGUGGCGCAACUACCCAGAAUUCAUGUUGAUGGAGACUUCAAAAUUGCCAAAGCUAUGAUCCUUUUAAUCCUAUAUAUGAGUACUAGAUGCGUAUUAUCAGUAUUUUGCAGGGUUGGUUAUGCAAUACAGAUUAUCGAUGGAGUAUUCCUUGCUUGUUCAUCAGUCAAUUGAUUGACUGUAGUGUAGUGUAUCUAGAGUUAGAGUUUCAUUCUUUGGACCCUUUGGUUUCAUUCAAUUAAUUGACAUUUGUCCUGAUUCUAGCUUCAAUUCUGCAAGUUUAUGAUAUACUUCAGAAAAUUAGUGUCUUCUAAGUUCUAAUGGCUUGUUACAAGAAGUGGUACCAUGUUUGUUCGCAUGAAAUUCUCAACUGUUCAAAGAGCUCAUAAGGAUUGCGAAGAGCUUAACAAGGUAAUUGACUCUUAGAAUGAAGUUAACUGAGAUGAAACGCGAGCAAGGAAAAAGGGAAACGUCAUGCUCCUCAACCAUUUGCAUUCUUGAACUCACUUUUGUGACACAGAGGCCGGUCCGUUGGAGUUCAAUAGCUACAGCCUACAUUCAGCCGUAAUUUGCUGGAAUGCCCCAGGCCAAGGUGCCAAAGUUGUGAACCAUUUUAUGUGAAUAUAUAUUAUGGACGUGAACUCGAAUGACAAGUUAAAAGCGGCAAUUAGUCAGGGGAAAUGGGCAAGGGGUUCCUGGUUAGCUAGGUAAUCGUUUUUAAUUUUACCUCUUAUUUUUCACCACACAUAUACUUGUUUCCCAUCUUUUGGUUAGCGUAUUUGUACAUACCGUUUCUCCAUUUUAUUUGGUUGUGUAGUGACACCUUUGAGUCAAGGGUGGAAGAAGAGGCGACCAUUAGGUGUUAACCCUUUUGAACAGCCUGAAGGCAAGGAGAAAACCAUGCUUCAUGACUGGAAAUCCAAGAGAGGAGGUCGCGAUUUUUGCCAAAAUUGUAACGAAUCACCCGGCGUGAGCUUACAUCAUUUUCUUCCACCUAAUACGUGCAAUUCGUUUUUUUUUUUUUUUGGGAUUCCUCCUAAUUUGAAUAUUAGAAUUUGCAGUUGUACUAGGCUGUGUA
Rhododendron vialii is the source of this 2750-nucleotide long non-coding RNA. RefSeq lists it as uncharacterized. The transcript has 5 exons. The record is from RefSeq and is a predicted model, not a curated record. Lineage: Eukaryota; Viridiplantae; Streptophyta; Magnoliopsida; Ericales; Ericaceae.